UUUGUCCUCCCUGAGGCCUUUUAUUUCCACAAAGCAGGAUUGGUUUGUCAGCUUCCACAGAUGCUGUUUCCUGCUGGUGGUGUCAGAACCUUCCUCCGACCUCUCUCACUGACGCCGUCUCGGGGUCUGCGGGUCCACAGCUGUGCUGACGCGCCUCAAACCAACAUACAGUGUGGAAGCUCCCACAGCCCUCAGUGCCGCCAAACUGGCCCGGCUGUGGGUCUCGGGAGAGGAGCCGCAGCCCCCCCUAGAGCCCAGGACCGAUGCCGGAGCAGCGCGACGCCCCGGCCGAGGGAGCGGAGGGACGCGGGCUCCGGCCCCAGCGUCCAGGGCCGCUCGGGGAAGCACGUGGACGUGGCCCCAGCCAAGGGCACGUCUGCCCCCAGCCUGUGUCUCCUACACGAAAGCCCAGCGUCCGAGUCCGGCCUGGCUUGACGGGUGUGUCCAGGCUAGCUUAUGGCAGAAGGAUCACCGUCACUCCUUCUCCUGUCUCCAGACAUCACAGAAUAACUGGAUUAGCUCAGUCAGCGGGGGCCUUGCUUGGACUUUCGGAACCGAAGCGUCUGUGAGGAUUAAUUCUGUCUGAACUGUGCUGGCAACUGUGUUCCCAUUGCCACCUUUCCUGGGCUUGAUGUGUCACCAAGCAGACACAACAUAGGCUCCUCUGGAAAAGGCAGGGUGCUGCCCGGAUUUCACCUUCUUUGUUUCUGUACUGUUGUGGUGUUCUCUAGAUUCACAUUUUGUAUACUCUACUUUCAAAACACUUUUAAGGGAGGUUUUUUUAAGGAUCAUUUUUGCCUGGAGCAGAAACAAAGAAACCUCCUGUUAAAAAGUGCCAAUAAAAUAAAU
This is a long non-coding RNA of Balaenoptera ricei (Rice's whale), 849 nucleotides long. RefSeq lists it as uncharacterized. Lineage: Eukaryota; Metazoa; Chordata; Mammalia; Artiodactyla; Balaenopteridae. The transcript has 3 exons. The record is from RefSeq and is a predicted model, not a curated record.